UACUUAUUUUGUAAGACGACAUUCUUGUCUUGCAUUACAGAAAUCAAAUCAAGUUUGGUUUAAAUUUCAUAAGAUAAGAAGAACCUGAAUUCCUUUAUAUUGAUAACUCCAGUACCAAUUGUAACUCUGAUCGUGAGGUUAAAUUAGGAAAGCAUGACUCUUUUGAAACCAUCGUUGAAAAUCUUCUCAUGCGUAAAUAGGUUUUCCUCUAGUGUAUCCAAUAAGAUUCACCCGUUGUAUAAACACACACAAGUAUCAGAAAACGUGUUUUUAAUCCAGGAGAAAUAUUUCAUUUCCUGGAACCUUGCCAACAUAUUUUUUAUUCGAGGAUCAGACAGAGAUCUUCUGGUGGAUACUGGAGUAGGUAUUUUUAACCUUCCAGCUUAUCUGACCAGCGCGCAGCUGAGAAAUGCACCUGACAAGCCUUUAGAUGUUGUUCUUACUCACGCUCAUUUUGAUCAUUCUGGAGGAGCACAUCAGUUCUCAAAAGUUUUCAUACAUAAAUUGGAAGAUGAAACUGUAAAAACAGGAAACAGGAGAAUGACAGCGAGCUGGGUAACUAGGGAAGAAGUUGUUCCUAAACCAACCGGAACCUGGAAUCACUUAGAAUACAGAGUUCUACCAUCCAAAGUGUUUCCGAUUGAAAAUAAUUUUGAAUUUGAUCUUGGCGACAGAACAUUUAAGGUUUUACAUAUUCCUGGACACUCUCCAGGUUCGAUAGCUUUAAUAGAUGAGAUAGGUGUUCUAAUUACAGGAGAUACUCUCUACAAGACUUCACAUGGAUUGAUUGAUUGGUAUCCAGGAAGCAGUUGUUACAGGAUGAGGAGUAGUGUUGAGAAAUUGGUUAAUCUUUGCAGGCAACAUAAGGUAGAAACAAUUCUACCAGGACAUAACCAGGGGUCCGGAACAAGCAGAGUAUACUGGCCCCCCCCCCCUCCUCCUCCACUCCCAACAGACGUCUUUAAACUCAAAACAGUUGUAAACAGUGAGGGAAUCUACUCUAUAUCUAUCAGUAAAGGAAUCUGCGAACUUUCAAGAUGGCGGUCACAAAAGCUGAUUUGAGUAAACUAGUUACCAGCCUCAAUGCUUAACUCAAGUUUGAAAACCAUGUCUUGGGUGAAAUUCGUCAGCUGCAAAAAUCCAUCGAAGAUCUAGAUGCUACUGCUAAAGAAAACAAGGAUGACAUUAAAUCACUCAUGGAUCGAACUCAAGCUCUUGAAACACAGAACACCCAGAAGGAUAACAAAAUCAAAUAGUUAACAGACAAAAUUAACGAUACGCAACAACAUCAGAGGAACUUCAGUUUCCGUAUCAAGGGAUUGCAUGUACCAAAGGAAUACAAAGAUAGAGAAUUCCUGAAAUACGUAUAUACCAAAGCAAUCCAACCAACUCUUGAAUUUCAAAAGCUGAAAGGGGAACUAAGCCAAGUACCAGAAUAUAACAAAGUUAUUGAACAAGGGCAUAUCCUUCCAUUACGUUCAUCUCCAACUGGUUAAAGACGUUGUCAAACAGGUUUUAAGUAGAAAUGAGGGAAUUGAUGCUGGGGAGUUUUAUCUCAAACAAUUCUCAGUAUUUAGAGCGGAGAAAAAGAGACUG
This 1596-nucleotide unclassified non-coding RNA is filed under the name Eurytemora carolleeae. RNAcentral's name for it is "metallo-beta-lactamase domain-containing protein 2". Lineage: Eukaryota; Metazoa; Arthropoda; Copepoda; Calanoida; Temoridae. The record is from RNAcentral.